This is a long non-coding RNA of Bos taurus (domestic cattle), 3455 nucleotides long. The record is from Ensembl. Lineage: Eukaryota; Metazoa; Chordata; Mammalia; Artiodactyla; Bovidae.
GGGUGGGGUAGGCGGGGAGAGCUGCCACUGGAUCUGCUUAAUCUGGAACCAGGGUCAAAGCAGUGACUGUCGGAAGCCACCAGGCCAAGAUGUCUUUCUAUCAUGGCUGGUGUCUUAUCACCAUACCCAGAGAGGGCUUCCCUUGGAGCUCUAGAAAGACGAUGACAGCAAAAAGAAACUGUUCUGUUGAUGGCUCUGGAGAGGCCCCCUGGAACUCUAGUUCUCAGCAGCCAACUCUGGUGAUGGAGGAUGGGAUUUAAAUGGUGGACACCUAAAGGAGAAGAAAGCACAAAAGAAUGUCCAAUCAAGAAUACGGGGCAGAAAUAAAAUGGGAGAAUAUGACUCAGGUAUUGUUCUCCUAAAUUCUCCCAGGGCCUUUGCAUAUACUGUUUCCAACGUGUGGAACCUGGAAGGAGGUCAGUUUUUCUUGUUGUGUUCUGAUACAGUGCUUGUACUUCUCUUUCUAGCAUUGUCACUGUUGAAUUUAUGUGUUCAAGUGGUCCUUUGAUUAAUGUCCUGUCUUGCUAAAUAGCUGUAACCUCCAUGAAGGCAAGAACUGUUCUGCUGACUGUUGUUGCUCAAGGGCAUGGGGCCUGAGCCCUGCUAGAUAUUCCAUAGGUAUUUCAUGGAUGACUGCUUGAAGGACUUUUAGAACAUGUUCCCAAGUAAGAACAAGUGAACUACAGUACAUAAUUCUCCUAAUCUUGGGCUGUGUGUGUGUGUGUGUGUGUGACUGUGCUGGGUCUUCGUUGCUGUGCACGAGCUUUCUCUAGUUGUGGCCAAGUGAGGCUCCUGCAGUGGCUUCUCUUGUUGCAGAGCAUGGGCUUUAGAUGUGCAGGCUCAGUAGUUGUGACUCGUGGGCUGUAGAGCUCGGGCUCAGGAGUUGUGGCGCACGGGCUUGGAUGCUCUGUGGCAUGUGAGAUCUUCCUGGACCAGGGAUCAAACCAUGUCCCCUAUACUGGCAGGUGGAUUCUUUAACACUGAGCCCCCAGGGAAAUCCCUAACCUCAGGCUUAUAUUUCAUUGUUCUGUGUAAAGACCUUUUUCUGACACCACACUAGCAUGCUGGGAGCAUUGACACCAGAUUCAGCAUGGUAACUGACCACAUUGGGACUUCAUGAGGAAGGGUAGUGAAGACUUCUUAAGUCAGUCAGAAUCCUGCCCUCACAGAACAAAAGACACACAACUCCUUUGACUUCCCUGAAAUUGUCAAAAGGUUUGUUCUUACCUCAGAGGUCUUGCAUCUCAGAGUGGUUGCCACUACUAUGCAAAUAUCAUGGUGCUCUGACUCCAACUUGGAGAAGUUCUGGGUGGUGAUCUCUACACUGUACUACACUCUUCCCUGUUUCCUUUGAUGGGAGAUUUUAGGCCUGGUGUAAUCAAGGUAAUCACAAAAUCUAUGGCAGUUAUAUUUGGAUGUUACAGAGCUGCUCAGUGUGGCCAACAGGAGAUACGUGGGAGUGUGAUAUGGUGGCUUCAUUAAAAGACAUUUGGGAUGUGCUGCAUGGCACAGAGCACUGUAUUCAAUAUUUUACAAUAUCUAUAAUGGAAAACAAUCAUAUAGCUGAAAUCAGUGCAGUAACUGUCUUUCAAUGACUGGCUUCUUACACUUAGCAUCGUGUCCUAAGGUUCAUCCAUGUUGUCACAUGUUACAGGAUUUCCUUGUUUCCUAAGGCUGAAUAAUCUUUAUUGUAUGGAUAUAUCAUAUUUUCUUUGUUUAUUCAUCCAUCAAUAGACAUUUAGGUUGCAUCCUCAUCUGCCUAUUGUGAACAGUGCUGCAGUGAACAUGGAGUGCUAAUCUCUCUUUGAGAUCCUGAUUUCAGUACUUUUGGAUAACUGUGCAGAAGUGGGGUUGCUGGAUCAUACAGUAAUACAACUCAAUAGCAAAAAAACCACCCUAAUUACCCAAUUUAAAAAUGGGCUAAAGACUUGAAUAGACACUUCUUUGAAGAAGACAUACAGAUGGGCAACAGAUGUGUUUCUUUAAGAAGAGGGCAGUUGGACUUCCCUGGUGGUACAGUGAAUAAGAAUCCACUGGGGACAUGGGCUCGAUUCCUAGUCUGAGAAGAUUCCACAUGCCAUGGGCAACUAAAGCUUUUGUACCACAACUACUGAGCUCUAGGGCCAGAGAGCCACAGCUAAUGAGCCUCUGUGCUGAAGCCCUCGAAUCCUAGAGCCUGCCUGCUGCUAAUACUGAAGCCGGUGUGCCUAGAGCCUGUGCUCCGCAAGGAAGAGCAGCCCCUGCUCGCUGCAGCUAGUGAAAGCCCUUGCACAGAAAUGAAGAUCCUGUGCAACGAAAAAUAAAUAAUAAUGAAAAAAAGGAAAAAACCAGUUAUUUCAAAUUUGCUGGCCUCUUGCUUGUGACUGUCUGUGUGUGUGAGCUCACACGGAAGCACACACACAUCCCCACACCCACUCCCCCCUGCACACACAUAUAUAUACACACACACACACACACAAUGUAUCCCUUCAGGUAAAGGUGAUGUUUUGGGAGUUAAUAUGACUGUGCUUUAAAAUAAUCAUGUUAUGGGGAAAGCAUUUUGAAAAUUGAUGUUUGGAACUGUUUCUAUUAUUAUGUGAUUUUAAUGCCAAAAUGAAGUGUCUCAUUGCCAACUAUAGAGACUGGCAUAGCCACAGCCUCCAAAAUUAAGAAGUACACUUUUAAAACCCAUUUUGCAUUCUUCCAAAUGAAGAGUUUCUGGAGUUUAAAAAAUCCCAUUGUUAAAAAUAUCCCCAGAAACAACUGAUGAAAAUGAAACGGCUUCUAAAACAUCAACCAGCUUAUACUGGUUUUUGCCUCCCCAACCAGCUUAAACUGGUUCUGCUUCCUUCAAAUAAGUUCAUUAAUCAAACCUUGACUUAUUUUACAGAGACAACAGUGCAAGAUGGGAAACCAUCUCUCCAGGAUGACCCCCAACCAAGAAUCUUCAGUCUACAGAACUCAAAGAAUCAAAAGGUUGCCACUGGAACCCUUAACAAAGCAAAGAACUAAGUCAUUCAAUAAGGAAAACCUGGCUUCCAGUAGCAUGACUAGCUUAUAUGUUCUGAUUCAAGACUAGCCAAUCAGCUUCCAAGUUUGAAAUUCCCCUAACCCCUUAAAUUUUAUUUAAACCAACCCUGGAUCAUGGAGACAGAUUUGAGAGCUUUGUCUCCUGUCUCUCUGCUGGUUAACCUCACAAUAAAGAUUUUUUUCCCCCUCAAAACCAGUGACAUAUUAUUGGCUACUAUACACAUCAGGCAUUGAACACUUGCUUGAUAACAAAAACAUCAGGAAUGAAGGCUUCAUGGACAAAGAAGGGUUUUCUGGGGGAACGUCACAUUUGCAAAACUGAUAUUAGAUGGAAUUUAAGCAGUGAGAAUUAUGGUUUAAUAAGUGUAGUGAAAGAUAAAAUUCUUCUAUUUGGGUGUAUUUAUCUUUGUGAGGUUUUUGUUUUGCAAUAAUAGCCAUUAGGACUA